Molecule: ribosomal RNA, 253 nt
Filed under: uncultured bacterium
Lineage: Bacteria
Description: partial 16S ribosomal RNA
Rfam family: Bacterial small subunit ribosomal RNA
Source: RNAcentral
UACGUAGGGGGCUAGCGUUGUCCGGAAUCAUUGGGCGUAAAGCGCGUGUAGGCGGUCCGGUAAGUCCGCUGUGAAAGUCGGGGGCUCAACCCUCGAAAGCCGGUGGAUACUGUCGGGCUAGAGUACGGAAGAGGCGAGUGGAAUUCCUGGUGUAGCGGUGAAAUGCGCAGAUAUCAGGAGGAACACCCGUAGCGAAGGCGGCACUCUGGGCCGAUACUGACACUGAGGAGCGAAAGCGUGGGGAGCGAACAGG